This 253-nucleotide ribosomal RNA is filed under the name uncultured bacterium. RNAcentral's name for it is "partial 16S ribosomal RNA". It matches the Rfam family "Bacterial small subunit ribosomal RNA", at positions 524 to 776 of the family's 1533-position model. The record is from RNAcentral.
UACGUAGGCAGCGAGCGUUGUUCGGAGUUACUGGGCGUAAAGAGUGCGUAGGCGGUUUCGCAAGUCUGGUGUGAAAUCUCCCGGCUUAACUGGGAGGGUGCGCCGGAAACUGCGAGGCUGGAGGGUGGGAGAGGCAAGCGGAAUUCCUGGUGUAGCGGUGAAAUGCGUAGAUAUCUGGAGGAACACCGGUGGCGAAGGCGGCGUUCUGGACUGCUACUGACACUGAGGAACGAAAGCCAGGGGAGCAAACGGG